AAUAAACGCAGUUGUGGAUAUCGGCGUCCAACUUUGACCAUCCGUCUUAUUCGAAAUAUUUUUAUGAUUAGUAUUUUUAUUGUUAUUAGAUGAUAAAAUAUGAAUAGUAUUUUAUCCGUUACUUAACUUUUAAAUUUUUUUUAUAAGUUUUAAAAAUAAGACGAAUGGUUAAACGUUAAGCAAGAAAACUUAUAACUGCACUUAUA
Molecule: non-coding RNA, 206 nt
Organism: Oryza meridionalis
Lineage: Eukaryota; Viridiplantae; Streptophyta; Magnoliopsida; Poales; Poaceae
Source: Rfam